This 253-nucleotide ribosomal RNA is filed under the name uncultured bacterium. Its description in RNAcentral is "partial 16S ribosomal RNA". It matches the Rfam family "Bacterial small subunit ribosomal RNA", at positions 524 to 776 of the family's 1533-position model. The record is from RNAcentral.
UACAGAGGGUGCAAGCGUUGUUCGGAAUUAUUGGGCGUAAAGCGCGUGUAGGCGGCCUUGCAAGUCGGGUGUGAAAGCCCUCAGCUCAACUGAGGAAGCGCGCCCGAAACUGCAGAGCUUGAGUACCGGAGAGGAUGGCGGAAUUCCCCAAGUAGAGGUGAAAUUCGUAGAUGUGGGGAGGAACACCGGUGGCGAAGGCGGCCAUCUGGACGGAUACUGACGCUGAGACGCGAAAGCGUGGGGAGCAAACAGG